GGAUGUGAGGGCGAUCUGGCUGCGAAAUCUGUCACCCCAUUGAUCACUAGGGUUGAUUCAGCUGAUCUGGCUGGCUAGGCAGGUGUCCCCUUCCUCUCUGAUGUCCGUCCCUCCCGAAGCUGCGUGCUCGGUCAAAGAGGAUGACCAUCUCUGAUAGAGGAGGACUGGUCUUCAGUCAAGAGUACAUGAGGAGCUGCACUCCCCCACUGAAAUCUCCAAACAAGCUCUCUUUAACUGACAAAUAAAAAUUGUAUAUAUUUAUCAAGUAUAUCAUUUU
RNAcentral lists this small nuclear RNA (277 nucleotides) under Aotus nancymaae (Ma's night monkey). RNAcentral describes it as "7SK RNA (ENSANAG00000009333.1)". It matches the Rfam family "7SK RNA". Rfam says of the family: 7SK was discovered as an abundant small nuclear RNA in the mid-70s but a possible function has only recently been suggested. Two independent studies have found that 7SK RNA binds the CDK9/cyclin T complex (known as elongation factor P-TEFb). P-TEFb activates transcription by phosphorylating the C-terminal domain of RNA polymerase II. Lineage: Eukaryota; Metazoa; Chordata; Mammalia; Primates; Aotidae. The record is from RNAcentral.